AUUGAACGCUGGCGGCAGGCUUAACACAUGCAAGUCGAACGGUAACAUAAAGGAGCUUGCUUCUUUGAUGACGUGUGGCGGACGGGUGAGUAAUGCUUGGGAAUCUAGCUUAUGGAGGGGGAUAACUACGGGAAACUGUAGCUAAUACCGCGUAGAAUCGGGAGAUGAAAGUGUGGGACCUUCGGGCCACAUGCCAUAGGAUGAGCCCAAGUGGGAUUAGGUAGUUGGUGAGGUAAAGGCUCACCAAGCCGACGAUCUCUAGCUGGUCUGAGAGGAUGACCAGCCACACUGGGACUGAGACACGGCCCAGACUCCUACGGGAGGCAGCAGUGGGGAAUAUUGCGCAAUGGGGGCAACCCUGACGCAGCCAUGCCGCGUGAAUGAAGAAGGCCUUCGGGUUGUAAAGUUCUUUCGGUAGCGAGGAAGGCAUUUAGUUUAAUAGACUAGGUGAUUGACGUUAACUACAGAAGAAGCACCGGCUAACUCCGUG
RNAcentral lists this ribosomal RNA (490 nucleotides) under uncultured bacterium. RNAcentral describes it as "partial 16S ribosomal RNA". It matches the Rfam family "Bacterial small subunit ribosomal RNA", at positions 30 to 507 of the family's 1533-position model. The record is from RNAcentral.